AUUGAACGCUGGCGGCAUGCCUUACACAUGCAAGUCGAACGGCAGCACGGGAGCAAUCCUGGUGGCGAGUGGCGAACGGGCGAGUAAAGUAUCGGAACGUGCCCAGUCGUGGGGGAUAACGUAGCAAAAGCUACGCUAAUACCGCAUACGAUCUAUGGAUGAAAGCGGGGGAUCGCAAGACCUCGCGCGAUUGGAGCGGCCGAGAUCAGAUUAGGUAGUUGGUGGGGUAAAGGCCUACCAAGCCGACGAUCUGUAGCUGGUCUGAGAGGACGACCAGCCACACUGGGACUGAGACACGGCCCAGACUCCUACGGGAGGCAGCAGUGGGGAAUUUUGGACAAUGGGCGCAAGCCUGAUCCAGCAAUGCCGCGUGCAGGAUGAAGGCCUUCGGGUUGUAAACUGCUUUUGUACGGAGCGAAACGGCUUCCACUAAUACUGGGGGCUAAUGACGGUACCGUAAGAAUAAGCACCGGCUAACUACGUGCCAGCCGCCGCGGUAA
Molecule: ribosomal RNA, 500 nt
Filed under: uncultured bacterium
Lineage: Bacteria
Description: partial 16S ribosomal RNA
Rfam family: Bacterial small subunit ribosomal RNA
Source: RNAcentral